GAUGUGCUGGCAGAUAAAUGUGGUUGAUUUAGGGUCAAACGAUGGAGUGUUCCGCACGUUU
RNAcentral lists this transfer RNA (61 nucleotides) under Vignadula atrata. RNAcentral describes it as "tRNA-Leu". Lineage: Eukaryota; Metazoa; Mollusca; Bivalvia; Mytilida; Modiolidae. The record is from RNAcentral.